UGCUGCUUACUUUUUGCUGUAGGGGGUCGAUGCCUACUUUAGCUGUGCAAUCAUUCCUCAAUAUUAAACCGAGUUUGAUCAAGUACCUUGAAUCUACAAGUAGCAGUGAUUUGACAGGUUUACUACUGCCUGAAACAUGAUUGCAAGUGUUCUUAGUAUAUAACUCUUCUCUGUUUCCUCUCCAACUGAAACUCAGAACUAACAUAUUAUUUUUCACAGGCAAAAGCGGUAGCAAGAACUGCGCUUUCAGCAGUUGUACAGACAUGGGAGAUAUGACAUAGCCAAGGUCUUGGCGCUGAUAUUGACCUCAUAACCCCUGAAUAAAGAAAGAUGCUACCAGAGAUUAGUAAACGAUCUUAAGCAGAAAAAGGUAUCAUUUGCGAAUGAUUAGCACCAGCAAAAAAAAACUGGGGACACAUACAACUAUCUCAAACACCAGGUCUUUCAGUGUUAGUUUCGGAUGCCACCUAAAGCUAGGACUAGAGGCGUCCUUCUCCAAUCCAUGAACUGUCAAUUGGUCUGCACUGCACCAAUGAUGAGGUCGAAGCAAAUCAUGCAUGGUAGUUGCUAAGAUAAGCGGAGCAGAGUUGGUGCUGAUGGCGAACAUCUGGGCCCUUUUCUCAUCAUUAGCGGAGUGGGGGGAAUCUUUCAUCAGUUGGAUCGCACUUGCAUUCUUCACAAGUUCGUCAGGUAUUUGACAUGAUAUGGAAAGAUCAACUUAAUAUUUAGACGUAUAUAAUUCAGGGAACCUUUUAGGCAACUUCACACUCAACUGGCUGUUAGCUAGUUGUUUUCUUUGUUGAGGAAAUACUCCUGAACUCUGCAUGCACAAUGAUAAUGAUGUCACUAAAGUUCCCCACGUUCUUCCAUGUAGGCACAUUCCAAGCUAAUGAAACAUGAUGUCACUG
This 908-nucleotide long non-coding RNA is filed under the name Zea mays. RNAcentral describes it as "long non-coding RNA (ZMAY_LNC002835)". The record is from RNAcentral. Lineage: Eukaryota; Viridiplantae; Streptophyta; Magnoliopsida; Poales; Poaceae.